UUUUCCCUGGCUCAGCUGCUGCCAGGGCUGGGUGGGAGCUCCAGGGGGCUCAGAUUUGGGAUUGCAACCCUCCUCCUCUCCAUUGCAGGUACUAAUUCCCAAGCAGCUACUAAUUCCUCAGCCGUCCCCAUGGUCGAGGUGGCUCCGGAGAACAACCUGGUGAGAUGUCCGUGUUUCUUCCCGGUGUGUUGCCGUGCGGGGAGGGCUCCUGAGUCAUCCCAAACGAGGAUCCCCCCCCUUCCUCUGACCUUUGCCAUCCUCCCCCCAAGGGUCUGCCUUCCCCUCCCCAGCCCUUUCCUUAUCAGCGACAAACCUGAAGAAAAUCAGGAGAAGAACCUGCUUUGGAGCCAUCGUGUCCCGCUCCCAGCCCCAUCCUGCUUCAUCCCUCGUUGUCCCCAGGGAAAACUGUAGCCGUGCCAGACACCCACAGCUCAAGCCUUGGGCCACGCCAGAGUGUUGGGCUGUUCCUCCCUUGUCCCUCUGCUGAGGAUGUUUCUGCCCCUUCCUGGCUCUCCCUGGGGACACUCCAGCCCCACAGGGGGGUCAUUGUCCUCAAGGUUCACCCUAACGCUGCUCCAUGCUCUCUCCGCAGCAAGAGGAGCCAUCUGAGCCCGAGAGCCAGAGCGUCUUGCCCACCUUCACCAUCAGCCUCAAGAACAUGCACACGAGCUCGGCUGUCCCCGUCACCACAUGGCCCAAGCGGAUGUCACCCUGCGUGGAAAGGGGCAGCCAGAUGUCACCCAAGCUGCUGAAGCUGGAGUGCGACAGCAUGGCAGUGCCCAGCGAUCCCAGUUCAAACCAGCGGGAUGGCAGAAGGGGGCCCAGCACCUCCACGCUGACCCAGAACUGCAACCCUACUGCCACCAACACCGCUGAUGGUGCAGGUGGGGACCGGGGACGUGCCUCUCCUCCUUACUCUUACGGGGGUCCCCCAUCUUUCCCAGCCUCUGUGCACCCCCAUGCACUCAAAACCCUGUCACCCCCCCCCCCAAGUGGGAGAAGCAGAGGGUGGGAGCUGGUUCCCAGGGGGUAAAUAUGAGGGGCGGAUGCUCCAUCCAUCUCCAUGUCCUACCUCCGAGAUGGGGGUACCUACCUCCACGUCCUCCCCCAAGCCUAGGGAAGAGCACAGCAGCAGGGUAGGUGUGCAGAGGGGCUCCCUGCCCUCCUGCUCCACGAGCUCUGGAUUUUCCUGGGGAGGCAAAAAAACCCCACUCAUUUUUA
RNAcentral lists this long non-coding RNA (1221 nucleotides) under Calidris pygmaea (Spoon-billed sandpiper). RNAcentral describes it as "lncRNA (ENSCPGG00000008288.1)". The record is from RNAcentral. Lineage: Eukaryota; Metazoa; Chordata; Aves; Charadriiformes; Scolopacidae.